This 232-nucleotide ribosomal RNA is filed under the name uncultured bacterium. RNAcentral describes it as "partial 16S ribosomal RNA". It matches the Rfam family "Bacterial small subunit ribosomal RNA", at positions 122 to 353 of the family's 1533-position model. The record is from RNAcentral.
CAACCUGCCGAUAACUCGGGGAUAGCCUUUCGAAAGAAAGAUUAAUACCCGAUGGCAUAAUAGAACCGCAUGGUUUGAUUAUUAAAGAAUUUCGGUUAUCGAUGGGGAUGCGUUCCAUUAGGCAGUUGGUGGGGUAACGGCCCACCAAACCUUCGAUGGAUAGGGGUUCUGAGAGGAAGGUCCCCCACAUUGGAACUGAGACACGGUCCAAACUCCUACGGGAGGCAGCAUG